This is a non-coding RNA of Pelobates cultripes (western spadefoot toad), 157 nucleotides long. Lineage: Eukaryota; Metazoa; Chordata; Amphibia; Anura; Pelobatidae. The record is from the annotation of a GenBank genome assembly.
GCAGACACAUUCCAGCCAAUCAGCAGCAGACCCUCCCUCCCAGACCCUCCCACCUCCUGGACAGCAUCCAUUGUGAAGCUGCAUUCUUAGUGAGCUGUCCAGGAGGUGGGAGGGUCUGGGAGGGAGGGUUUGCUGCUGAUUGGCUGGAAUGUGUCUG